Molecule: long non-coding RNA, 696 nt
Organism: Actinia tenebrosa (Australian red waratah sea anemone)
Lineage: Eukaryota; Metazoa; Cnidaria; Anthozoa; Actiniaria; Actiniidae
Source: RefSeq, a predicted model, not a curated record
AGAAGACCUCAUGGCCGCCACUAAAAAUUUGCUCUUAAUAAUUUUCAUCGUUUUUCGUCAGAAGACGCCAGGAUGUUUUACCACACAUUGUAAGAUUCUUUAAAUAAAGUUUUGUGCGUUGGACGACAAGCGUCAGAAAGGCUCUAAACGAAACCAAAGAAAACAACAAGCACGAAAAGGCACUUGAGUUAUAGUUAUAUGGUUAUAGUUAUAUGGAAAAAGCUAUGCAAAUACGUGAAGUGAAGUACUAUACGUACCAUCCUUCGUAAGCCCAGAGUCCACUCUGAAAAGCAAGUCCAACCAUUCCUAUCUGAGUCGUGGUGUCUUUGAACGAGUCCUUGAAGCUUGAUGUGUGGCCUGGAAACGAAAGAUGGAGUCUGCUGCCUGGAUUUCUAAAAUAGUAUUUAAUGUGUAUAUAUAUAUAUAUAUAUACUAACCUUGAGCAAGACUAUAAAACCCAGUACCAAUUAGUAACAUCAGAGCAAGGAAUUUACCAACCGUGAAGACUAUCUGAACACGAGUUGCCCAGUUAGCACUCAGGCAGUUGAGCAGACAUAAGGACAUUGGAGAAUUCCUCCCGAAUUUCCUAGUCACGCUCACACUUGACGUAAAUUCACUGUACUGCAAAUGCAGAUGUUUUUAACGAAUUUAAAGCCACCAAUAACCUGCAGUUGCCCAAGAAACCUACAUAUGGAC